CAUCCUGGGGCUGAAGUAGGUCCCAAGGGUAUGGCUGUUCGCCAUUUAAAGUGGUACGCGAGCUGGGUUUAGAACGUCGUGAGACAGUUCGGUCCCUAUCUGCCGUGGGCGCUGGAGAACUGAGGGGGGCUGCUCCUAGUACGAGAGGACCGGAGUGGACGCAUCACUGGUGUUCGGGUUGUCAUGCCAAUGGCACUGCCCGGUAGCUAAAUGCGGAAGAGAUAAGUGCUGAAAGCAUCUAAGCACGAAACUUGCCCCGAGAUGAGUUCUCCCUGAGACUUAGAGUCUCCUGAAGGAACGUUGAAGACGACGACGUUGAUAGGCCGGGUGUGUAAGCGCAGCGAUGCGUUGAGCUAACCGGUACUAAUGAACCGUGAGGCUUAACCUUACAACGCCGAAG
RNAcentral lists this ribosomal RNA (400 nucleotides) under Salmonella enterica subsp. enterica serovar Kentucky. RNAcentral describes it as "partial 23S ribosomal RNA". It matches the Rfam family "Bacterial large subunit ribosomal RNA", at positions 2543 to 2925 of the family's 2925-position model. Lineage: Bacteria; Pseudomonadati; Pseudomonadota; Gammaproteobacteria; Enterobacterales; Enterobacteriaceae. The record is from RNAcentral.